GGUUGUGGCUCAGAGGUAGAGUGCUGGCCUACCAUUCAUGAGGCACUGGGUUCAAUCCUCAGAACCA
Molecule: transfer RNA, 67 nt
Filed under: Marmota monax (woodchuck)
Lineage: Eukaryota; Metazoa; Chordata; Mammalia; Rodentia; Sciuridae
Description: tRNA.Gly
Source: RNAcentral